RNAcentral lists this ribosomal RNA (269 nucleotides) under uncultured Hyphomicrobiales bacterium. RNAcentral describes it as "uncultured Rhizobiales bacterium partial 16S ribosomal RNA". It matches the Rfam family "Bacterial small subunit ribosomal RNA", at positions 503 to 771 of the family's 1533-position model. Lineage: Bacteria; Pseudomonadati; Pseudomonadota; Alphaproteobacteria; Hyphomicrobiales. The record is from RNAcentral.
UUGUGCCAGCCGCCGCGGUAAUACGAAGGGGGCUAGCGUUGCUCGGAAUCACUGGGCGUAAAGGGCGCGUAGGCGGCCAUUUAAGUCGGGGGUGAAAGCCUGUGGCUCAACCACAGAAUUGCCUUCGAUACUGGGUGGCUUGAGUCCGGAAGAGGUUGAUGGAACUGCGAGUGUAGAGGUGAAAUUCGUAGAUAUUCGCAAGAACACCGGUGGCGAAGGCGGCCAACUGGUCCGGAACUGACGCUGAGGCGCGAAAGCGUGGGGAGCAA